RNAcentral lists this ribosomal RNA (384 nucleotides) under uncultured bacterium. RNAcentral's name for it is "bacterial SSU rRNA". It matches the Rfam family "Bacterial small subunit ribosomal RNA", at positions 30 to 416 of the family's 1533-position model. The record is from RNAcentral.
AUUGAACGCUGGCGGCAUGCCUUACACAUGCAAGUCGAACGGCAGCGGACCUUCGGGUGCCGGCGAGUGGCGAACGGGUGAGUAAUAUAUCGGAGCGUACCUUUCAGUGGGGGAUAACGUAGCGAAAGUUACGCUAAUACCGCAUAUUCUGUGAGCAGGAAAGCAGGGGAUCGCAAGACCUUGCGCUGAUUGAGCGGCCGAUAUCAGAUUAGCUAGUUGGUGAGGUAAAGGCUCACCAAGGCGACGAUCUGUAGCGGGUCUGAGAGGAUGAUCCGCCACACUGGAACUGAGACACGGUCCAGACUCCUACGGGAGGCAGCAGUGGGGAAUUUUGGACAAUGGGCGCAAGCCUGAUCCAGCCAUGCCGCGUGAGUGAAGAAGGCC